UCCGUAGGUGAACCUGCGGAAGGAUCAUUAGUGAAUCUAGGACGUCCAACUUAACUUGGAGUCCGAACUCUCACUUUCUAACCCUGUGCAUCUGUUAAUUUGGUUAGUAGUCUCCGGACGAACCCCAUUUUCACUUCAAAACACAAAGUCUAUGAAUGUAUUUUAAAUUUUAUAACAAAACAAAACUUUCAACAACGGAUCUCUUGGCUCUCGCAUCGAUGAAGAACGCAGCGAAAUGCGAUACGUAAUGUGAAUUGCAGAAUUCAGUGAAUCAUCGAAUCUUUGAACGCACCUUGCGCUCCUUGGUAUUCCGAGGAGCAUGCCUGUUUGAGUGUCAUGAAAUCUUCAACCCACCUCUUUCUUAGUGAACUUGGUGGUGCUUGGUUUCUGAGCGCUGCUCUGCCUCACGGCUCAGCUCGUUCGUAAUGCAUUAGCAUCCGCAACCGUAACUUCGGAUUGACUUGGCGUAAUAGACUAUUCGCUGAGGAAUUCUAGCUUGACUAGAGCCGAGUUGGGUUAAAGGAAGCUCCUAAUCCUAAAGUCUAUUUUUUUGAUUAGAUCUCAAAUCAGGUAGGACUACCCGCUGAACUUAAGCAUAUCAAUAA
RNAcentral lists this ribosomal RNA (605 nucleotides) under Rhodotorula ngohengohe. Its description in RNAcentral is "eukaryotic LSU rRNA". The stretch from base 184 to 337 matches the Rfam family "5.8S ribosomal RNA". The record is from RNAcentral. Lineage: Eukaryota; Fungi; Basidiomycota; Microbotryomycetes; Sporidiobolales; Sporidiobolaceae.